AUUGAACGCUGGCGGCAGGCAUAACACAUGCAAGUCGAACGAGUGGCGGACGGGUGAGUAAUGUCUGGGAAACUGCCCGAUGGAGGGGGAUAACUACUGGAAACGGUAGCUAAUACCGCAUACCAUCGGAUGUGCCACGAUGGGAUUAGCUAGUAGGUGGGGUAACGGCUCACCUAGUCGACGAUCCCUAGAUGGUCUGAGAGGAUGACCAGCCACACUGGAACUGAGACACUGUCCAUACUCCUACGGGAGGCAUCAGUGGGGAAUAUUGCACAAUGUGCGCAAGCCUGAUGCAGCCAUGCCGCGUGGAUGAAGAAGGCCUUCGGGUUGUAAAGUACUUUCAGCGGGGAGGCGUUACCCGCAGAAGAAGCACCGGCUAACUCCGUGCCAGCAGCCGCGGUAAUUC
This 406-nucleotide ribosomal RNA is filed under the name uncultured bacterium. RNAcentral describes it as "partial 16S ribosomal RNA". It matches the Rfam family "Bacterial small subunit ribosomal RNA", at positions 30 to 526 of the family's 1533-position model. The record is from RNAcentral.